This 496-nucleotide ribosomal RNA is filed under the name uncultured bacterium. RNAcentral describes it as "bacterial SSU rRNA". It matches the Rfam family "Bacterial small subunit ribosomal RNA", at positions 51 to 524 of the family's 1533-position model. The record is from RNAcentral.
UAUCAUGCAGUCGAGCGAACGGACGAGUAGUGCUUGCACUCUCUGAAGUUAGCGGCGGACGGGUGAGUAACACGUUGGGUUAACCUACCUAUAAGACUGGGAUAACUUCGGGAAACCGGAGCUAAUACCGGAUAAUAUUUAGCUUCGCAUGAAGCAAUAGUGAAAGACGGUUCUGCUGUCACUUAUAGAUGGACCCGCGGUGUAUUAGCUAGUUGGUGAGGUAACGGCUCACCAAGGCAACGAUACAUAGCCGACCUGAGAGGGUGAUCGGCCACACUGGGACUGAGACACGGCCCAGACUCCUACGGGAGGCAGCAGUAGGGAAUCUUCCGCAAUGGACGAAAGUCUGACGGAGCAACGCCGCGUGAGCGAAGAAGGUCUUCGGAUCGUAAAGCUCUGUUGUCAGGGAAGAACAAGUACCGUUCGAACAGGGCGGUACCUUGACGGUACCUGACGAGGAAGCCACGGCUAACUACGUGCCAGCAGCCGCGGUAAU